This 938-nucleotide long non-coding RNA is filed under the name Homo sapiens (human). Its description in RNAcentral is "non-protein coding lnc-PDGFA-17:26". The record is from RNAcentral. Lineage: Eukaryota; Metazoa; Chordata; Mammalia; Primates; Hominidae.
AGACGCAGGGCGGGCAAUGGCCGCCUGGGUCUCUCGGGCAGCCCUGCCCACCUCUCUCGCGUCUCCUGGUCUUGGCCUGCGGCUCUCUUUCUGGCAGGUGCCGCGGCGUCUCCUGCGGGCCUGACCGUGUUCUCCCGCCUAGCCAGGCUCUUCUGCGCUCCUUUUUUGUUGAGAUUUUUCCAUCCCCUGCACAGGAAGUGUCCUUUAAUUACUCCAGUGUUUUUUUAGUUACUUUUUAAGAAACAUUUUGGACUUUUCGAUACAGAAUAGUGUCAAAAAAAAAAUUUAACCUUCUUCAGGUUAUAUUUUAGUGAAUGAUAUUAAUAUAUGUUCCAAAGUUGUAUGGGAUUUCUAAAAUUCUAAUUUUUCUGAGUAUAUGCUACCGAUCAUAAUUAUGGUUAUGUUGUUGUUAUAACCAAAUUUCUUUGUCAAUUGUGUCUUUUUGAGUAUUUAAAGUCAUUUCCGCAGUUAAUUGCUUCAUGCUGAUGUAGUUUCUGAAAACUUCACAAGCACACAAAAAUCCUAGAACAUGGUGUCUUUUAGGAGGUUCGUGAACGGAUGGGGAGGACCCUGAAAAGCACUGUGGAAUACAGGUUUCUAGUAACUUCAAAAUCACAUCAUUUGGACUGGGUAAGAAUUGCUGAAACUUUAAUGAAAAGACUGACUGGCUUAUAAAACUGCUAACCCAAAUAGAAUAAAAAUUAAUUGAAUACCGAGGAAAUGCUUCACCAGAACCCAAAGAUGGGAUCUUCUGAGAACAUCAGAGAAACGCUGCCCUUGGCAUCAUCACUGCAACAAAACAUCAGGAUCUUGAACCUUGGGGUCAUAAUCUCACAACUGAGCAGGGUCACUCUUGGAACUCUACAUCCAUUGAAACCCUUAAGGUAAAGCUAAUCAGGGAAGUUUCUCCCCAGAAGAAGAUGGCAUCCUUGAUGUGA